This 432-nucleotide ribosomal RNA is filed under the name uncultured bacterium. RNAcentral's name for it is "partial 16S ribosomal RNA". It matches the Rfam family "Bacterial small subunit ribosomal RNA", at positions 29 to 507 of the family's 1533-position model. The record is from RNAcentral.
ACGAACGCUGGCGGCAGGCCUAACCCAUGCAAGUCGAGCGCGCCCUUCGGGGUGAGCGGCGGACGGGUGAGUAACGCGUGGGAACGUGCCCUUCUCUGCGGAAUAGCCUCGGGAAACUGAGAGUAAUACCGCAUACGCCCUUUGGGGGAAAGAUUUAUCGGAGAAGGAUCGGCCCGCGUUGGAUUAGGUAGUUGGUGGGGUAAUGGCCCACCAAGCCGACGAUCCAUAGCUGGUUUGAGAGGAUGAUCAGCCACACUGGGACUGAGACACGGCCCAGACUCCUACGGGAAGCAGCAGUGGGGAAUCUUAGACAAUGGGGGCAACCCUGAUCUAGCCAUGCCGCGUGAGUGAUGAAGGCCUUAGGGUUGUAAAGCUCUUUCAGCUGGGAAGAUAAUGACGGUACCAGCAGAAGAAGCCCCGGCUAACUCCGUG